RNAcentral lists this ribosomal RNA (499 nucleotides) under uncultured bacterium. RNAcentral describes it as "bacterial SSU rRNA". It matches the Rfam family "Bacterial small subunit ribosomal RNA", at positions 791 to 1296 of the family's 1533-position model. The record is from RNAcentral.
UAGUCCACGCCGUAAACUAUGAUCACUAGAUGUUGGCGAUAUAUUGUCAGUGUUUUAGAGAAAUCGUUAAGUGAUCCACCUGGGGAGUACGUUCGCAAGAAUGAAACUCAAAGGAAUUGACGGGGGCCCGCACAAGCGGAGGAGCAUGUGGUUUAAUUCGAUGAUACGCGAGGAACCUUACCAAGACUUAAAUGUAUAUUGCUAGAUUGAGAAAUCAAUUUUUCUUCGGACAAUUUACAAGGUGCUGCAUGGUUGUCGUCAGCUCGUGCCGUGAGGUGUCGGGUUAAGUCCCAUAACGAGCGCAACCCCUAUUUCUAGUUACCAGCGAGUAAUGUCGGGAACUCUAGAAAGACUGCCUGUGUAAACAGUGAGGAAGGUGGGGAUGAUGUCAAAUCAUCACGGCCCUUAUGUCUUGGGCUACACACGUGCUACAAUGGUCACUACAGUGGGCUGCCAUCUGGUGACAGAGAGCAAAUCCAUAAAGGUGAUCCCAGUUCGG